UACAGAGGUCUCAAGCGUUGUUCGGAUUCAUUGGGCGUAAAGGGUGCGUAGGCGGCGCGGUAAGUCGGGUGUGAAAUCUUGGAGCUUAACUCCGAAACUGCAUUCGAUACUGCCGUGCUUGAGGACUGGAGAGGAGACUGGAAUUUACGGUGUAGCGGUGAAAUGCGUAGAUAUCGUAAGGAACACCAGUGGCGAAGGCGGGUCUCUGGACAGUUCCUGACACUGAGGCACGAAGUCCAGGGGAGCAAACUUG
Molecule: ribosomal RNA, 253 nt
Filed under: uncultured bacterium
Lineage: Bacteria
Description: partial 16S ribosomal RNA
Rfam family: Bacterial small subunit ribosomal RNA
Source: RNAcentral